UAGGGAAUCUUCCACAAUGGGCGAAAGCCUGAUGGAGCAACGCCGCGUGUGUGAUGAAGGGUUUCGGCUCGUAAACACUGUUGUAAGAGAAGAAUGACAUUGAGAGUAACUGUUCAAUGUGUGACGGUAUCUUACCAGAAAGGGACGGCUAAAUACGUGCCAG
This 163-nucleotide ribosomal RNA is filed under the name uncultured bacterium. RNAcentral's name for it is "partial 16S rRNA". It matches the Rfam family "Bacterial small subunit ribosomal RNA", at positions 355 to 511 of the family's 1533-position model. The record is from RNAcentral.